CAGCCGCCGCGGUAAUACGAAGGGGGCUAGCGUUGUUCGGAUUUACUGGGCGUAAAGCGCACGUAGGCGGACUUUUAAGUCAGGGGUGAAAUCCCGGGGCUCAACCCCGGAACUGCCUUUGAUACUGGAAGUCUUGAGUAUGGUAGAGGUGAGUGGAAUUCCGAGUGUAGAGGUGAAAUUCGUAGAUAUUCGGAGGAACACCAGUGGCGAAGGCGGCUCACUGGACCAUUACUGACGCUGAGGUGCGAAAGCGUGGGGAGCAAACAGGAUUAGAUACCCCAGUAGUCCCUGUCUCUUAUAC
Molecule: ribosomal RNA, 301 nt
Filed under: uncultured bacterium
Lineage: Bacteria
Description: partial 16S ribosomal RNA
Rfam family: Bacterial small subunit ribosomal RNA
Source: RNAcentral